This 465-nucleotide ribosomal RNA is filed under the name uncultured bacterium. RNAcentral's name for it is "partial 16S ribosomal RNA". It matches the Rfam family "Bacterial small subunit ribosomal RNA", at positions 28 to 507 of the family's 1533-position model. The record is from RNAcentral.
GACGAACGCUGGCGGCGUGCUUAACACAUGCAAGUCGAACGAAAAGGCCCCUUUGGGGGUACUCGAGUGGCGAACGGGUGAGUAACACGUGAGUAACCUGCCCUUGACUUCGGGAUAACUUCAGGAAACUGGGGCUAAUACCGGAUAGGAAUCCUUGCUGCAUGGUGGGGGUUGGAAAGCUUCGGCGGUUUUGGAUGGACUCGCGGCUUAUCAGCUUGUUGGUGGGGUAGUGGCUUACCAAGGCUUUGACGGGUAGCCGGCCUGAGAGGGCGACCGGCCACAUUGGGACUGAGAUACGGCCCAGACUCCUACGGGAGGCAGCAGUGGGGAAGAUUGCACAAUGGGCGGAAGCCUGAUGCAGCAACGCCGCGUGCGGGAUGACGGCCUUCGGGUUGUAAACCGCUUUCAGCAGGGGCGAAGCUUGUGGUGACGGUACCUGCAGAAGAAGCACCGGCUAACUACGUG